This 61-nucleotide transfer RNA is filed under the name Palaemon annandalei. RNAcentral's name for it is "tRNA-Ala". Lineage: Eukaryota; Metazoa; Arthropoda; Malacostraca; Decapoda; Palaemonidae. The record is from RNAcentral.
GAGAUGGUAGUCAACAAUGAUUCUUGCCUUGCACGCAGGAGGUGCUUCAGAGCUCAUCUUG